RNAcentral lists this ribosomal RNA (424 nucleotides) under uncultured Prevotella sp. RNAcentral's name for it is "bacterial SSU rRNA". It matches the Rfam family "Bacterial small subunit ribosomal RNA", at positions 355 to 794 of the family's 1533-position model. The record is from RNAcentral. Lineage: Bacteria; Pseudomonadati; Bacteroidota; Bacteroidia; Bacteroidales; Prevotellaceae.
UAGGGAAUAUUGCUCAAUGGGCGAAAGCCUGAAGCAGCAACGCCGCGUGGAGGAUGACACUUUUCGGAGCGUAAACUCCUUUUGUUGGGGAAGAAACUUGACGGUACCCAACGAAUAAGCACCGGCUAAUUCCGUGCCAGCAGCCGCGGUAAUACGGAAGGUCCGGGCGUUAUCCGGAUUUAUUGGGUUUAAAGGGAGCGUAGGCCGGAGAUUAAGCGUGUUGUGAAAUGCCGCGGCUCAACCGUGGCACUGCAGCGCGAACUGGUUUUCUUGAGUGCGCGCGACGCAGGCGGAAUUCGUGGUGUAGCGGUGAAAUGCUUAGAUAUCACGAGGAACCCCCGAUUGCGAAGGCAGCUUGCGGGAGCGCAACUGACGCUGAAGCUCGAAGGUGCGGGUAUCGAACAGGAUUAGAUACCCUGGUAGU